This 490-nucleotide ribosomal RNA is filed under the name uncultured bacterium. RNAcentral's name for it is "partial 16S ribosomal RNA". It matches the Rfam family "Bacterial small subunit ribosomal RNA", at positions 28 to 507 of the family's 1533-position model. The record is from RNAcentral.
GAUGAACGCUAGCUACAGGCUUAACACAUGCAAGUCGCGGGGCAGCAUGGGGGUUGCUUGCAAUCCCCGAUGGCGACCGGCGCACGGGUGAGUAACGCGUAUCCAACCUGCCCUUCACCACGGGAUAACCCGGCGAAAGUCGGACUAAUACCGUAUGUUGUCCAUUGACGGCAUCCGAUUUGGACGAAAGGUUUGGCGGUGAAGGAUGGGGAUGCGUCCGAUUAGCUGGACGGCGGGGUGACGGCCCACCGGGGCGACGAUCGGUAGGGGUUCUGAGAGGAAGGUCCCCCACACUGGAACUGAGACACGGUCCAGACUCCUACGGGAGGCAGCAGUGAGGAAUAGUGGUCAAUGGGCGUAAGCCUGAACCAGCCAAGUAGCGUGCAGGAUGACGGCCCUAUGGGUUGUAAACUGCUUUUAUGCGGGGAUAAAGUGGCCCACGUGUGGGUUUUUGCAGGUACCGCAUGAAUAAGGACCGGCUAAUUCCGUG